RNAcentral lists this long non-coding RNA (432 nucleotides) under Coturnix japonica (Japanese quail). RNAcentral's name for it is "lncRNA (ENSCJPG00005018049.1)". The record is from RNAcentral. Lineage: Eukaryota; Metazoa; Chordata; Aves; Galliformes; Phasianidae.
GCACUCCCUUUCAUCUGCAUGAUAAUGAUUUUGCCUCAUCACUUCAUGAAGUGUCUGUGGGUGGAAACAUGAUGAAGGGAAUCAUAAAACAAGGAGCCACGUGAGAAGCUGAAGUAACGUGAACUAAUUUCAUAAGCAUUACGUUUGAAGAUGAUGUCUCGUGUAAGUUACCUGAUAAACAAUAAAAGGGAGACCCAUCAUUCUUCUGAGCCUCCUGAAGGAGCAGCUUCCUCAGGCACUGGAGUUAAACGACACAAAUUCAUCAUUACACAACCACCUCUCAUCCGUAUUUCACCUUCUGCUGCUAGGCCAGAAAUUCAGCCAUUGCAUUUCACUCACAGAGAUCUACAUUGCGGAAAGGCCAAUUAAAAGAGGAGCAGAGAAAUAAUGAAGGAGGGAUAAAUAAAUGGGUUAGCUGAAUGUUUAAAGUCA